UGUCAAGGGAUGGGAAUCGAACCCAUGACCUUCCGCUUACCGGGCAGAUGCCAUGACCACUAGGCUACCCUGGAC
Molecule: transfer RNA, 75 nt
Filed under: Cordylochernes scorpioides
Lineage: Eukaryota; Metazoa; Arthropoda; Arachnida; Pseudoscorpiones; Chernetidae
Description: tRNA-Thr
Source: RNAcentral